GAUGAACGCUGGCGGCGUGCCUAAUACAUGCAAGUCGAGCGAACAGAUGAGGAGCUUGCUCCUCUGACGUUAGCGGCGGACGGGUGAGUAACACGUGGAUAACCUACCUAUAAGACUGGGAUAACUUCGGGAAACCGGAGCUAAUACCGGAUAAUAUAUUGAACCGCAUGGUUCAAUAGUGAAAGGCGGUUUUGCUGUCACUUAUAGAUGGAUCCGCGCCGCAUUAGCUAGUUGGUAAGGUAACGGCUUACCAAGGCAACGAUGCGUAGCCGACCUGAGAGGGUGAUCGGCCACACUGGAACUGAGACACGGUCCAGACUCCUACGGGAGGCAGCAAUAGGGAAUCUUCCGCAGUGGGCGAAAGCCUGACGGAGCAACGCCGCGUGAGUGAUGAAGGUCUUCGGAUCGUAAAACUCUGUUAUUAGGGAAGAACAAAUGUGUAAGUAACUAUGCACGUCUUGACGGUACCUAAUCAGAAAGCCACGGCUAACUACGU
RNAcentral lists this ribosomal RNA (496 nucleotides) under uncultured bacterium. Its description in RNAcentral is "partial 16S ribosomal RNA". It matches the Rfam family "Bacterial small subunit ribosomal RNA", at positions 28 to 506 of the family's 1533-position model. The record is from RNAcentral.